AUGGCUGGUCCGGCGAAGGCGUCAUGGAUGGCUGCGACGAGCGUCGGCGCGGUGGAGGCGCUCAAGGACCAGGCCGGGCUCUGCCGCUGGAACUAUGCCCUCAGGUCCAUCCACCGUGCAGCCAAGGCCAACGUCCGCGGCGGCGUCUCGCAGGGCACGAAGCAGCUUCCGGCAGCUGUGGCGGAGAGGCGGCGAGCGGAGAAGGCCGAGGAGGGGCUGAGGACGGUGAUGUACCUCAGCUGCUGGGGCCCAAAUUAG
This 258-nucleotide ribosomal RNA is filed under the name Triticum aestivum (bread wheat). RNAcentral describes it as "partial small subunit ribosomal RNA". Lineage: Eukaryota; Viridiplantae; Streptophyta; Magnoliopsida; Poales; Poaceae. The record is from RNAcentral.